Panonychus citri (citrus red mite) is the source of this 1601-nucleotide RNA transcript. It is a transcript of the gene named ras-related GTP-binding protein A-like, with no coding region annotated. The record is from RefSeq and is a predicted model, not a curated record. The transcript has 5 exons. Lineage: Eukaryota; Metazoa; Arthropoda; Arachnida; Trombidiformes; Tetranychidae.
GGCUUGAGACAAAAACGCCUUUCGUUUUGUAAACAAAUUGGAAACAAUUUAAUUCCAACUUGUUUAUUUUUGUUAAUUGUCAUUGUUUUGGUUUUGUUUCUUUUUCUAUUUUAAUUAAGUUACAAUCGUCAUUAAAUAUGAAGAAAAAGGUACUUCUUAUGGGUAAAAGUGGAGCUGGAAAAACCUCCAUGAGAUCAAUCAUAUUUGCUAAUUAUAUUGCUCGUGAUACAAGACGAUUAGGUGCUACAAUCGACGUGGAACAUAGUCAUGUCCGUUUUCUUGGUAAUCUUGUACUUAACCUCUGGGACUGUGGUGGUCAAGAGGCCUUUAUGGAAAGUUAUUUCGCCUCACAGAGAGACAAUAUUUUUCGAAAUGUUGAACUUUUGAUUUACGUUUUUGAUGUUGAGUCAAGAGAAUUGGAAAGAGACAUUCACUAUUUCCAAUCUUGCUUGGAAGCCAUUCUACAAAAUUCUCCAGAAGCUAAAGUUUUCUGUCUAAUACAUAAAAUGGAUCUCAUACCCGAAGAGAAAAGAGAUUUGAUAUUUCUAGAUAGAGAAUCAGAAUUGAAGAAACUAUCCCAGCCCAUUGAAAGUAGAUGCUUUCGAACCUCCAUUUGGGAUGAAACUCUGUACAAAGCUUGGUCGGAAAUCGUUUAUACCUUAAUUCCAAAUGUUCAAGAAUUAGAGAGACAUUUGAAACAUUUUGCAGAGAUAAUUGAAGCAGAUGAAGUUCUACUUUUUGAAAGAGCCACUUUUCUCGUUAUUUCUCAUUGUCAAAGGAAAACUCAUCGUGAUCAUCAUAGAUUUGAAAAAGUUUCCAACAUAAUCAAACAAUUUAAACUUAGUUGCAGUAAAUUAGCAGCCCAAUUUCAAAGUAUGACGGUAAAGAAUUCCAAUUUUGCCGCUUUCAUCGACAUAUUUACACCAAAUACUUACGUAAUGGUUGUCAUGUCCGAUCCAACGAUACCUUCAGCAGCCACAUUGGUGAACAUUAAAAAUGCUCGUAAACAUUUUGAAAAAUUGGAAGGAGUUAAAAAUCGUUGAAUUAAUUGUUUCAUUGACAAUUUAUAAGAACAGUUGAUUGAACACAACAUCAAACGUUAACUUUCAACUUUAAUUGUUACAUUUUGUUGUUAAUCGUUUAAUGAUUAGUUCAUUUUGAUUGUUAGUUUAUUUUUUUGCUUAAUUUUGAAAACUCUGGUUUGUUAAUUGUUGUCACUGCGAUGAUUAUAAUUUUAUUUAGCUCUUAUAAACAAUUUAAUCCCUUGGUAUUAAAGUUGAUUAAUUUUGAUGAUUUGAAUCAUAAUUAAAUCUAAAUAACUGCAAAAAAUCAAUAAUAAUCAACUUCUUAAACACUGGAAACCAAAUUAGCUCAACAAUUAAAUAACUGAUGAUAUUAAGACAAAUGUAACAAUCAAUUUCUAAGACAAUCAAAUGAAUGGUCAAUUAUUAAACUAAUUGAAAUUACCGAUAAAAUUGUUUUUUAAUAUUCAUUUAAUUUACUAAUUGUUAAUUGAAAUGGUUUUGCAAUAAACUAAAUUUGAUUAUUGAAUUUAAUGGUUAUUAAUGGGAAAGAAAAUAAAAAUUAUUAUGGUUAACGGA